AGCGAACGCUGGCGGCAGGCUUAACACAUGCAAGUCGAGCGCCCCGCAAGGGGAGCGGCAGACGGGAGAGUAACACGUGGGAACAUAUCUUUUGGUUCGGAACAACUGAGGGAAACUUCAGCUAAUACCGGAUAAGCCCUUACGGGGAAAGAUUUAUCGCCGAAAGAUUGGCCCGCGUCUGAUUAGCUAGUUGGUGAGGUAACGGCUCACCAAGGCGACGAUCAGUAGCUGGUCUGAGAGGAUGAUCAGCCUCACUGGGACUGAGACACGGCCCAGACUCCUACGGGAGGCAGCAGUGGGGAAUAUUGGACAAUGGGGGCAACCCUGAUCCAGCCAUGCCGCGUGAGUGAUGAAGGCCUUAGGGUUGUAAAGCUCUUUUGCCCGGGAAGAUAAUGACGGUACCGGGAGAAUAAGCCCCGGCUAACUUCGUG
RNAcentral lists this ribosomal RNA (431 nucleotides) under uncultured bacterium. Its description in RNAcentral is "partial 16S ribosomal RNA". It matches the Rfam family "Bacterial small subunit ribosomal RNA", at positions 29 to 507 of the family's 1533-position model. The record is from RNAcentral.